GUGCCAGCAGCCGCGGUAAAACCAGCACCUCAAGUGGUCAGGAGGAUUAUUGGGCCUAAAGCAUCCGUAGCCUGCUUUGUACGUUUUCGGUUAAAUCCAUCAGCUUAACUGAUGGGCCGCCGAAAAAACUGCAAAGCUAGGGAGUGGGAGAGGUAGACGGUACUCGAUAGGAAGGGGUAAAAUCCUUUGAUCUAUUGAUGACCCCCUGUGGCGAAGGCGGUCUACCAGAACACGUUCGACGGUGAGGGAUGAAAGCUGGGGGAGCAAACCGGAUUAGAUACCCGGGUAGUCCCAGCUGUAAACGAUGCAGACUCGGUGAUGCCCUGGCUUGUGGCCAGUGCAGUGCCGCAGGGAAGCCGUUAAGUUUGCCGCCUGGGAAGUACGUACGCAAGUAUGAAACUUAAAGGAAUUGGCGGGGGAGCACCACGAGGGGUGAAGCCUGCGGUUCAAUUGGAGUCAACGCCAGAAAUCUUACCCGAAGAGACAGCAGAAUGAAGGUCAAGCUGGAGACUUUACCAGACAAGCUGAGAAGUGGUGCAUGGCCGUCGCCAGCUCGUGCCGUGAGAUGUCCUGUUAAGUCAGGUAACGAGCGAGAUCCCUGCCUCUAGUUGCCACCAUUACUCUCAGGAGUAGCGGGGCGAAUUAGAGGGACCGCCACAGUUAAUGUGGAGGAAGGAAGGGGCCACGGCAGGUCAGUAUGCCCUGAAACUUUGGGGCCACACGCGGGCUGCAAUGGUAGUGACAAUGAGUUUCCUAAUCCGAAAGGAGGAGGCAAUCUUCAAACGCUACCACAGUUAUGAUUGAGGGCUGCAACUCGCCCUCAUGAAUAUGGAAUCCCUAGUAACCGCGUGUCAUUACCGCGCAGUGAAUACGUCCCUGCUCCUUGCACACACCGCCCGUC
This 901-nucleotide ribosomal RNA is filed under the name uncultured archaeon. Its description in RNAcentral is "bacterial SSU rRNA". It matches the Rfam family "Archaeal small subunit ribosomal RNA", at positions 455 to 1354 of the family's 1478-position model. The record is from RNAcentral.